RNAcentral lists this ribosomal RNA (660 nucleotides) under uncultured bacterium. Its description in RNAcentral is "bacterial SSU rRNA". The stretch from base 1 to 539 matches the Rfam family "Bacterial small subunit ribosomal RNA", at positions 338 to 873 of the family's 1533-position model. The record is from RNAcentral.
CCUACGGGAGGCAGCAGUAAGGAAUAUUGGUCAAUGGAGGCAACUCUGAACCAGCCAUGCCGCGUGCAGGAAGAAGGCCCUAUGGGUCGUAAACUGCUUUUGUACCAGAGAAAACCCGAGUACGUGUACUCGGUUGAUAGUAUGGUAAGAAUAAGCAUCGGCUAACUUCGUGCCAGCAGCCGCGGUAAGACGAAGGAUGCAAGCGUUAUCCGGAUUCAUUGGGUUUAAAGGGUGCGUAGGCGGACUGAUAAGUCAGUGGUGAAAUCUCUCAGCUUAACUGAGAAACUGCCAUUGAUACUGUUAGUCUAGAGUAUAGAUGACGUUGGCGGAAUAUGACAUGUAGUGGUGAAAUACUUAGAUAUGUCAUAGAACACCGAUUGCGAAGGCAGCUAACGAAACUAUAACUGACGCUGAGGCACGAAAGUGCGGGGAUCAAACAGGAUUAGAUACCCUGGUAGUCCGCACCGUAAACGAUGAUUACUCGUUGUUGGCAAUAUGACCGUCGAGCGACCGACGACGAAGACGAGUAAGUAAGUACCGUACCGUUACGGGGUUAGGUACGGUUCCGGGCCGGAACCGGUUACGGAACCGUUACCGAACGGAAGUUAGGUUACGGACGUUGGAGGACGUUACGCCGACGGACGACGACGAGGGAGGAGG